CACACCGCCCGUCACACCAUGGGAGUUGAUUGCUCCAGAAGUGGCCGCACCAACCCGCAAGGGAGGUAGGUCCCUAAGGAGUGAUCGGUGACUGGGGUG
RNAcentral lists this ribosomal RNA (99 nucleotides) under uncultured bacterium. RNAcentral describes it as "partial 16S ribosomal RNA". It matches the Rfam family "Bacterial small subunit ribosomal RNA", at positions 1386 to 1482 of the family's 1533-position model. The record is from RNAcentral.